Molecule: unclassified non-coding RNA, 117 nt
Organism: Macaca fascicularis (crab-eating macaque)
Lineage: Eukaryota; Metazoa; Chordata; Mammalia; Primates; Cercopithecidae
Rfam family: Metazoan signal recognition particle RNA
About the family: The signal recognition particle (SRP) is a universally conserved ribonucleoprotein. It is involved in the co-translational targeting of proteins to membranes. The eukaryotic SRP consists of a 300-nucleotide 7S RNA and six proteins: SRPs 72, 68, 54, 19, 14, and 9.
Source: Ensembl
GCUGGGCAUGGUGGCUCAUGCCUGUAAUCCCAGCACUUUGGGAAGCUGAGGCGGGUGGAUCACCUGAGGUCAGGAGUUUGAGACCAGCCUGCCCUACAUGGUGAAACCCCGUCUCUA